AUGACAACAUUCUUUUCAGCAAGGAGCAAGGACAAGUCACCAUUAGUACCAUGUUUAGUUCAUGUCAUUGCUACACGGGCAGCAUCUCCAUUUCAACUUCAGUAUUAUUGUGAGAAUUUAGGUAUGUGUCAGCAUCCUUAUUUUCAGUGUUACAUAUGUGCACCCUCUCCAUGGGAUCCAGGAAGGCAGAUAAACAAGUUAGGAAGCCUGGUUAUGAACAGAAACUAUGCGUCCAUUGUCUUGUGGCCGUCGUGUCCACCUGAUCGAGCAGAGCUUAGUGGCAUGAUCCCAAGUUCGUUGUUGCCUAUGGAUGUGUCUCAAAUGCACAGCAAUUUGUUUCAAAAUGAGUCUCCUUGUUGUCUUCAGCCUGGGAAGCUGCAGAAAUUCAGAGAGGCACUAUUUGACCUGAAGCCAUGUUCGUCUUUUGUGUUGCAUCCAGAAGGAUUGUUGUUCAGACUUAUAUGGCCAUCAACUCAAGUUCUGAUGCAAUGGAAUGAUUCUUUGCUGCUCGGGCAUGCUCUUUUCUUGGAGGCUGGGACUUCUUUCGCACUAGAAAUGGUGGGCGAUAAUGAUCAAUUGUGCUCUGAGUUUGUGCAAUGGGAUGAGAAACGCCUAUGGCUGCACCCCUUUUCUCUGAAUGCAUUAACACUGAAUCUGCAAGUGUACGAGCAGAAGAGCAAGUGCAGAUUACAAGAUAUUAGUGGCUGUUUUCUGUUUGUGCAGAGUGACAAAAGUAGGGAUAUGAUUCAUGUUCAUGAAGCUACUGAUGGAUAUGCUCUUUUUGUUACUGGCAAUAUUAGUGAUCAGCAAUGUUUGGGUCACUGGAGAGUAUCCAAGUACCAAGGAAGGUUGCAGGAGGUCUUAACAGAGGCAGAUCAGUGUGUUGACAAUUUGAAUAACAAGGUACUACGACGGCCAUGGGAUGUAGGUUAUUGGAGUUUUGGUGGUUACAGGUCCUACAUAUUGGCUGGUGGAAAAACUAAAUGGCCAUACACAUUUGCAUUUUACACAAAGAAGCCACGACAGAUAUUACAAGGACAAAAAUCUUCAUGCCGCUUGCGUGCAAGGAGCUUAGUGGUUGUGUACUUCUCAGAAAAUCUGCAAGAUACUGUGUGCUGCAACAAGGCCAUUGCUUGGUUUCUCAAACUGGCAACUCCUGAUGGAAGCCCAAUAUACAUGCAAGUCAGGAUUCAUGGGAAGUUUCCUGUGCUUGCUUAUUCGGUGCUUGAGGCUAUGGAUUUUUCUUGGAGAAGAACACUUUUCAGUACCAGCUUUAAUAUUAUGCCUACACCUGAAGUAGCAGCAGUUGUGCACAAAAUUCUUUCUCCGGUUCCCUUGCCUAUGAAGACAUGUAAUUUUGGCAUGGGCGUCUGUGACCAAACCCACUACUGCCACAAACAGUGGCGGAGCUACUUGGGGGCCAACCUGGGCCAUGGCCCCCCCAGCUCAUAG
RNAcentral lists this ribosomal RNA (1452 nucleotides) under Triticum aestivum (bread wheat). RNAcentral's name for it is "partial small subunit ribosomal RNA". The record is from RNAcentral. Lineage: Eukaryota; Viridiplantae; Streptophyta; Magnoliopsida; Poales; Poaceae.